Long non-coding RNA from Pezoporus occidentalis (night parrot), 1376 nucleotides. RefSeq lists it as uncharacterized. The transcript is spliced from 5 exons. Lineage: Eukaryota; Metazoa; Chordata; Aves; Psittaciformes; Psittacidae. The record is from RefSeq and is a predicted model, not a curated record.
GAGGCAUUCCUGGCCAUGGCAGGGGAUUGGAACUUGACCAUCUUAAGGUCCUUUCCCACCCAAACCAUUCUGUGAUUCUAUGAUAGAUACUCUUCAUUCAGUAUUUUAGUAACUUAUUAAGACUUAAACUUCAAACUGUUACUCAGAUGCAACAAUUUACUUUUUAGGGAGUCCACCUGGUAGUCCGGUCUGAAGCAGCAUCUUGGUGGUAUGUGAUUAGAGAAGAUGACAGAAGAAAUGCCGGAUGUCAUUUCAUGGGAAUCUGAAGGCUCUUCUGGAGCUGGUACUGGCUUGUGUUUUGGUACAAAUAGCAAAGAUGAUUCAAGCGGAAAAGCUUGGUGCUUUAGGAUACAGAGUAAAGUGGGUGUUGCUGUGUUGAAGGGAUGAGCUGCAGAAGGUAACCUGUGUGACAGUGUCUGCAUGUGGGAGGCCUGAGGAACCCUGAGUUGCCAUCAAAGUGAGUCUGAAGGUGAGUGCUUAGCAGAAUGGCUGGUGCUACAGAGAAACUUGAGGUCACUUCAAAGAGGGUUUGCAUGGCUGAGAAACCAGCAGCUCUUAACGCGGUGACCGCACAGUGAAAUCCUCUGCAGGAUGCCGUGGACACGUGUUGUGUGCUAUGGUCUAUUUAUGAGGAGAUAAACCCGAUGUAGUUGGGCCUUUUGGACUAGAAAAGGAUGUUUAUCCACUGCCCUCAGGGUUUUUGAGAUGUUGAUGUAGGAAGAGGCUGAUCAGUUUAAUGCUGAAACCAGCUGACUUCCACAGCAUGGAAAACUGAAGAACACGUUGAUCCAAUUGUGGCACAGGCUGUCUUGUAACUUCAUUGCUGCUUACGUGUCCAUGGAAGGACAGUGAAGCUGGUGAAGGGUCUGGAGCACAGGCUUAUGGGGAACAGCUGAGGGAAGUGUGGUUGUUCAGCCUGGAGAUAAGGAGGCUCAGGGGAGAUUUUAUUGCUCUCUACAACUACCUGAAAGGAGGAUGGAGACGUUUGGGUGCUGGUCUUUUCUCCCAAGUAUGAAGGGAUAGAAGGGAAGGAAAUAGCCUCAAGUUGUGCCAGGGGAGGUUUAGAUUUAGAUACUAGAAAAAAUUCCUUCCCCAAAAAGGUUGUCAGGCAUUGGAACAGGCUGCCCAGGGCAGUUCUGGAGCCACCAUCCCUGGUGAGGUAUUCAAAAGAUGUGUAGAUGUGUACAGGGGCAUGGUUUAGUGGUGGAUUUAGCAGUGCUGGGUUAAAGCUUGGACUCAAUGAGCUAAAAGUGCUAACAGAUGCUUUUCCUCUCUCAGGUCCUGGUGCUGUUGCUGCAAAGAACUGAAUGGCUCUUCUAAAAACAACCCUAUCCAGAGUGUUUCUUGCAGUAAUUUAUUAUUAAUCACUCAGCCUA